This is a long non-coding RNA of Oncorhynchus tshawytscha (Chinook salmon), 751 nucleotides long. The record is from Ensembl. Lineage: Eukaryota; Metazoa; Chordata; Actinopteri; Salmoniformes; Salmonidae.
CCCUACUUUACACAGACUCAGGUAUGCCAGGUGUCACUCAGAGCCUGUUCAGCCCAAGUGGCAGAGAGAGGUAGACGGAGCUCAGACACAGAUACGUUGAGGGUUUUCCCUGAGAGUUAUAUUUCCAAGGAUUCACUCACCUUCCAAGACAAGGGGGAGGACAUUUCUGCCUAUAAACAACAAGGUGUAAAAAAACAAUGCAUGAUGCGCAAUCACCACCCACUUGGGUACCAGAAACAAUACAGAGGACAUCCGCGCGCCACACCUUCCUACUGUUUAUCCAUGAGCAAAAGAUACACCGCCGACCCUCCCCACCGCAAAGCAGCUGAAGGCCUGUCAUCGGAACCUCAUAGCAUCUGGCUCGGAGGAUCAUCGUCCCUUCCCAAACUAUUUUAAUAAACGUUCAUACUUUAAUUUAGUCUUUGUUGUUCAUUCAGUUAGCCUGUCAUUGUUUGAACUGAUGUUAACAUGUAGAGGUGGUUAUUGGAUACUGUCUGCUUAGUAGAGGUGAGGGGAAUUAUGUGUUAAGUAGGUCAUAAUUUACAUGUAGUAAAUGUUAUUCUAGUAUUUGUAAGGUGGUAACUGUAUAAUUGAUGCGUGUACAUAGCUCUGAAAGGAAUGCUGUGAAGUUGUAAGACCUAACCAGGCCAGUGGAAGUCAGUGCUACUGUGGCUUCUUUAUUAAACAUCUACUUUUGUAUCUGAUUGGUUCCUCAAUAAAUAUUUCAUGACAGUAAAUGCACAGUGCGGAG